Molecule: ribosomal RNA, 290 nt
Filed under: uncultured bacterium
Lineage: Bacteria
Description: partial 16S ribosomal RNA
Rfam family: Bacterial small subunit ribosomal RNA
Source: RNAcentral
AAUCCUACGGGGGGCAGCAGUGGGGAAUAUUGCACAAUGGGGGAAACCCUGAUGCAGCGACGCCGCGUAAGUGAAGAAGUAUUUCGGUAUGUAAAACUCUCUCAGCAGGGAAGAAAAAAGACGGUACCUGACUAAGAAGACCCGGCUAACUACAUGCCAGCAGCCGCGGUAAUACGUAGGGGGCAAGCGUUAUCCGGAUUUACUGGGUGUAAAGGGAGCGUAGACGGCGCGGCAAGUCUGAAGUGAAAGGCAGGGGCUUAACCCCUGAACUGCGUUGGAAACUGCCAUGC